UGUCUCACCGUCAUGCUUUGUACGUUCAACACAUGCCCUGAGUUCCCACUCUUUCUCAUACAUGUCUGUGGUAAUCUGGGCUUGACAGAGCUCAGGGACCAGUAGGGAAUCAGACACAAUCAUAAAUCAGUAAGGGGACAUACCCAGAGCAAGUAUCUCUGAGAAGGGGACCCAUGAGCUAAGUCCUGAAAUGAGCCAAGUUUGGGGUUGGGAGGAGAGUAUUUCAUAUAAAGAGAAGUGUUACCUAUACAUAAGCAUGACGGUGAGACAACAUAGAAUCAGACUGGCUGAAGCAUGAAGGAUAAGGAGGAAGUAAUUUCAGGUGCAGCUGGAGAGCCAUGCAAUGACCACAUUCAUUCAUUCAUUCAGUAACAAGUAUUUAUUGAGUUGCUUAAGUUUAGUGAUUAAGAUGCUGUUGGAGCCGGGCGCGGUGACUCACGCCUGUAAUCCUAGC
Non-coding RNA from Microcebus murinus (gray mouse lemur), 454 nucleotides. Lineage: Eukaryota; Metazoa; Chordata; Mammalia; Primates; Cheirogaleidae. The record is from RefSeq and is a predicted model, not a curated record.